This 447-nucleotide ribosomal RNA is filed under the name uncultured bacterium. RNAcentral's name for it is "bacterial SSU rRNA". It matches the Rfam family "Bacterial small subunit ribosomal RNA", at positions 328 to 792 of the family's 1533-position model. The record is from RNAcentral.
AGCCCAGACUCCUACGGGAGGCAGCAGUGGGGAAUAUUGCACAAUGGGGGAAACCCUGAUGCAGCGACGCCGCGUGAGCGAUGAAGUAUUUCGGUAUGUAAAGCUCUAUCAGCAGGGAAGAAAAUGACGGUACCUGACUAAGAAGCCCCGGCUAACUACGUGCCAGCAGCCGCGGUAAUACGUAGGGGGCAAGCGUUAUCCGGAUUUACUGGGUGUAAAGGGAGCGUAGACGGUCCUGCAAGCCAGAUGUGAAAGCCCGGGGCUCAACCCCGGGACUGCAUUUGGAACUGUAAGGCUAGAGUGUCGGAGAGGCAGGCGGAAUUCCUGGUGUAGCGGUGAAAUGCGUAGAUAUCAGGAGGAACACCGGCGGCGAAGGCGGCCUGCUGGACCGUGACUGACGUUGAGGCUCGAGAGCGUGGGGAGCAAACAGGAUUAGAUACCCCAGUA